CCCUGCUUCCCCAAGACUGGAUGCUCAUUGCCUUCCCCGCCCUCCACCCUAGUACAAAAAGCCUUGCAGCAACCCAGGUGCCCAUGGCCUGGGUACCUGCAGGCAAUGGCCAAGACACUAAGGUCACAGGGUUGCCUCCAUGUGUGAAGGAGCUGGUGAAGGAUCCCAGGGGACCCAGCAUGAUGUACAGGGAGUGGUAGAGGAGCUUUCACUCACCUCAACAGUCCAGGGAAUGACAAGCCAUCACAUGCUAGAGCUGCAGCAUUUUCAAAGCUGGCUCUCCCUUCUGAUUGGAGGGAGGAGCUCCAGCACUGUUAUUUCUGGCCCUGGAGAAGGGCAGCAGAGGGAGGAUGCCAGCAGGCAGAGUGAAGUACCCACCCAGCCAGACAUCGGCGGGCAGGAGCAGAGAAGCCUGCAAAUGAAGGAUGGACGGAGAGCCACCAUUUCAUGCUGAAAAGCCAUCUGACUAGGAGACUUGAGCCCCACAGACAGCCUGGGAAGUUUGAGCUGGGAUGCACAGGACUUGACCAAAACUGUGAGCAGAGGGGAAAACAGCCUGACAUGGAAUGGGGCAAGAACUCCUCUGUGGCCUAAAGCACUCAAAUGAGGCUGAGGACAGCAAAGUGGCCCCAAGAGCCAGGAGUUUAUACCAGCACCAUCUCCUGUGGGUCAGAUUCUACAUUGUGUUUGCUGCCACCACCAUUUCACCAUCUCACAAAGGAAUUAUAGGAAACUUCCUGAGUUUCUUAUAAUUAGAAGAUACCUCUUGGGAGUUUUUCAUGAGUUUUCCAGACAGUUUUGAAGAUACAGGAGUUUGGGACACUUUGGUAUAAUGAGUAUGAGAAUAUUUGGAUGUUUAUUUAAACUGGACCUUUGAGUGCCACAAAAGGAAAAAUCUUAACAGUCAAGUAUACCACGGACCAGACACAUACCUUUGACAUCCUAGAAAUCCCCCUGAUGCACUCUCAGAGGCUUCAACUCCAUCCCAAAUAUCUUUUUUUUAUCAAAAGAAUAACUCUCUGGACAAAGCACAGGCACUCAUAGCCUGUCAGAAAAAUAAUCUUUUAAUGAAAAAUAAUAGCAUGAUAUCAGAUGAAACCUGCAUGCAAGAAAGAAGGCAGCAGUAUGGGUAGCAGAGAAUGGGACCUGUAUGAUCUGUGCCUGUCUUUCCACUAGUUAACUGUAUGAUUGAGAACAAGGUAUUUGAUCUCCCCAUGCCUCCUGUUUAUCCAUCUGUAAAGUAUAAUUAAUGAUAGUAACUGUAGUAGUAUCUUGAGCCUUGCAAUGUAGAAACAACCUUUCAUUAUGUACAGACACUUAUAUCCAACUAUUUACAGUACACAGGUAACAGUUUGCUGCUGCCUUUGCAAUAGGCCUGCUUCUGUCCAUUGAGCUGGUGAUCCUCAAGCACCAGCUUCCUGGACUGGACAUUGUGUGUGGAUGUCUGACUCUCAACUCCCAAAACAAAUGCUCUACGCCUGGCUUGGUUGCAGCCUGAGAUCUUGCGGAAAUGCUACAAGAAUACAUUGAAGGCAUAUCUCAAGAAAAUGGACAAUGCUGGCUGCUAACCAACUCCAAUAGCACCGCAACCUCAACCAAGGAGAAGUCUGCUUCAAGGUAAAGCAUCUUACCCUCAAAACAGCCAAGAGAAAGCGAAAGAAGGAAAAGGAGAAAAAUCCCGGCCUAUGGCCUACUCUCCCCUAUGGCAAGACCUGAAGGUCCUGCGGAUGGAUCUGUAGGUCGUUCAAGGAUUGGAUUCUUAAGUCACCUCAAGACCCAUCAAUGAGUCAUAGUAGAGAUCACCUUUGAAUUGAGGGUUAGCCUGCAACAAGUUCAUGUUCUGUUCUCCCACCCAGAAAUUCCUGCUGUCCUUAGCAAGAGUCUCAUGGGAUAACUCACUUCUUGGACAGUGUGUGUGACCAGGGGCAUUUACUCUAAGUCACAGUAACCUGCUUUGCUGGGGUGUUGGGAGGCUUUGCUAACAUUUGCAGAGCCCUCAGUUCUCCAAUACAAAGCUUUAUGCAAGUGGUUAGUUCAUGCACCAGUAUUAUGGGACAUGAUAAUGAUGAACCACAUGAGGAAAGGAAAUACAGAAAAAAAUACUGGUUCAGUAGGAAUGUGUUAGACUAGUUUCUCAGUGUAGUACCAAAUAUUCUUCAAAGAUCCUUAAGUGGCAGCUGAUUUGAAAAACCUAUAUAUUCAUUUUCCUGUUUUGUAUUAUGUUAUAUGGAAUUUUUUCUCAUUAGCUGUUACAUUUCCAUAUAGCAAAUCUUUAGGGAGGUAUGUAUAUAUCGCUGCGCGUAUGAGCAACACUAAAUACGGCUUUAUAUUUCCUGACUCUUAGCAGAAUUGGACAAUGUUUAAAAGUUACGAAGGGCACCUGUGGCCGAUUAAUGUCAGUUCUCAUUUCAUCCUCUGGAGGAUUUUCACACAUUGCACCCCAAGGGGUGCAUUGACAUUCAUAGCUCCUCCAGGGGAAGAAACAUAUGGAGACUCCGCAGGGACAAACUUCAUGAUCUGAAUUGCCAAUCAGUGCAUGUCUGAGCCUCAGCUGUGGAAAAUCUUGCAGAUAACAAGACUUCAUGCUUCCACAAUUCUCAUUUUAAUCUGUCAGUUACUAAAUAUGGUUUCAGUAUUGCUCAAGUCAGUAAAAGACCUAGAACACUAGCUUAUUAUAGAGAGGUGGUAGCCUCUGCAUAUAUACGGUGCAGCCAGCUUCCAUUAUAACGAUCUGUUUUGUUUUCCUUAUAAAUUGGAUUGGCCUGAAAAUUGAAAUGUUUACUCUGAAAGCAGAGGAGAAUGUUUCUGCUUAGUUUAAUGAAAAUUUGUCAAACUGUUUCUUUUUGAAUCAUUUAAAUAUAUCACCUUGGUCUUAGGUUUUGAUUUCAUUUCCCUCUAUCUCAAGAAAUUGAUUGUUGUUGUUUCCAUGCACUUUGCAUUUAGCGAUAUAUCCUUGAAAAUGAUGGCUGUAUAUAAAGAAUAUAUGCUGUAAUUAAAGCAAAAUUAUUACCUGG
Alligator mississippiensis (American alligator) is the source of this 3014-nucleotide long non-coding RNA. RefSeq lists it as uncharacterized. The record is from RefSeq and is a predicted model, not a curated record. NCBI's taxonomy places the organism in Eukaryota, Metazoa, Chordata, Crocodylia, Alligatoridae. The transcript has 3 exons.